AAAAUCAAUCAUCUUAUAUCAAACCAAAAUAAAACAAUUAAAUAAAUAAUAGCUAAUAAAUACACAUUUAUAAAGUACAGUAAUGGAAACACCAAUUAAUCAAAGUAGAUUAUACCAACGUACCUUGUGCAUUAUGGUUUUACAAGAAUAUAAUUAAAAAUAAUUGCCCGAAUUCUUAACGAGCUGCAUAAAUGCUGUUUAGAACUUACUAGUAACUGUAGCACCAGUUUUAGAAGACAUUAAUGCAGAGGCUACAUACCAGCCGCGUAGGAAAAUUGCUGGUUCUCAAUAAAACUUAUAUAUUAAAACAUGCAUAACUAUACAGUGUAAAACCAUUGAGGAUAAGCCCAAUGAUAAUAACAAUAUAUAAACUAUAAAAAUAUAAUAUAGGCCUAAAACCAGCCAAACAAAAUACUUCAUCGUAUAAUAUAAGAGUAAAUUAAUAGAUCAAUAUGUGACCCAUAACUGAGAUAUAGAUAUAAAUAUAAUUAACCUAUUUUAAUAUGUAAAAAUUAGUAUUACUUAAUAAAGCAAAAAUAUUCAAGAAUUCAAAAAAAUUAAAAAUAACUAAAUAAGGAACUCGGCAAAAAUUACUUUCGACUGUUUAACAAAAACAUUGCUUCUUGUAACAAUAUAAGAAGUACCUCCUG
Molecule: ribosomal RNA, 650 nt
Filed under: Geogenia natalensis
Lineage: Eukaryota; Metazoa; Annelida; Clitellata; Crassiclitellata; Microchaetidae
Description: partial 16S ribosomal RNA
Source: RNAcentral